UCUAGUGAGUACUGCCCACUGCUGCUGAAGGCCCCAGCUCAGGAUGUGUCACCGGCCACCAGGUGGUGCUCAGGUUGCUGAGGCUGGCUGGUCUCUGUCAGCCUCCAGAGUCUGCAGACCUCACCCUGGGUGGGGGCCUGGGGGCAGGACCAAGGCUCGGUCACAGCGCAAGAGCCUCAGGGGACUUGGGCACAUCUGCUCCAACCUCCUCUGCAGACUGAGGCAGGAACUGCAUCCCCCAAGAGGGGAAGAGAGUUCAAGGUCACUCCAAGGAAAAUGGAAACCUGGCUGUAAAAGACUGCUGCAGCAAUCAUGGCGUGAGGUCUCCUCCCAGAGAGCCUACCUCAGGGAGCCACAGCAUACAUCCAGCAGGGGAGGCAGCUGAACAGAUAGUCCCGGUCGCUCCAGACUUAGGAGACUCUGUGGCCUAGCUCCUAACCAUUCUUAUGAGAGUCACAUCUUGAGGCUCCAAGAGUCAACUGAGGACUCCUGCUCUGCUUUGACUGGGAGGCAGCGUGACAAUGAUUCUAACCAGCAUCCUGCAGCCACACCACUUGGGUUCCGAAUUCCAGUGCCACCAUUAACUGUGGGACUUUGGGUAAGGUACAUAGCUUCCUUGAGCUUUAUUUCCUUCAUCUGGAAAAUGGGGAUGAUCAUGUACUCAUCAACAACCUGUAGGGUCGCUGUGGGAAGGAAGGGAAUUAAAUAUGCUGUGCUUGGCACAUCUUUAAGUAUCAUAAAACUGUUAGUAAUUAUUGUUGCUUUUGCUAUUGUUAUUGUUUUUGGGGGGAUUGAACUCAGGGCCUUGCACAUAACUAGGCAAGCACCCUAACCACUGAGGUACAAG
Long non-coding RNA from Marmota monax (woodchuck), 847 nucleotides. RefSeq lists it as uncharacterized. The record is from RefSeq and is a predicted model, not a curated record. NCBI's taxonomy places the organism in Eukaryota, Metazoa, Chordata, Mammalia, Rodentia, Sciuridae. The transcript is spliced from 3 exons.